CCUCGCUAAUUCGUCGUAACACUGCUUUUACGACGAAGUAACGAGGAAAACUGCCCUCGUAAAACUUGUGUUUUCUUGUAGUGAUUGUUUCAUUUUUUAUAAAGCAUAGUAAGCUAGAAGAAUGUCUUUGCAUAUGUUGAUAUGAAGAUCGAAAAAACUGUUGCGGAGAAAUCAAUCACACAAGUACAUGGUUCUUGCUAUUAUUUCCAAUCAGACAAGUAUAUGUCUUGUCAAACAAAGAAGUUGAAUAUACGAAAAUGAAAUCCAAUAAGAAAAUGAACAGAAAGAAGUGGACUAUAAAAGUUCAAGAAUAAAGUUGACUAUAUAUACAUGGAAAAUAUUGGGAUGUUACAUUAGAGCACUUAGUUUUAUGUAGAUAUUUAGUCGAAUCAAAAUCUUGUUUUGAAUGCACAAGUAUAAAUGAUGACAACAACAAACACUCCCCCGUUUAUAUGUAAUUUUACCCCUAAUUAAUAUUAGUUUAUUUGCAUUUGAUCAGAAAAACAAAAGUUUCAGGUAUCUGAAUGGUGACAGUCAGCAAAGCCCAAUGGUGACAGUCAUCACAUAAACAAAAAGUUUCAGAAACACAAGGAAUUUCGUAAGAGCUUUUGGUUCAACCCAUAGGUCUCUCACUCUCCCUGGUUUUAUGCAAAGGCACGCAUCAUUAUGCAUUUAAUACUACUGAACAUGUACAUUGAGUGAGAGAGACGCAUCAAAAGGAGACUGAGACUUAAGCUCUAGGACACACAACUCGCAAUCAUGGCAUGUGGAAGUCAGGGCUCCUACAACGUACUCCCUCCGUUUCUUUUUGUGUGAUGUUUUAGAAUAUAUUUUGUUUCAAUUUAUAUGAUGUUUUGAAACUUUCUAUGUAAACUUAUUAAAGUAAUUAAUUAAAAUAUUAAAAAUUAAUGUAUAGUUAUUGUCUUAUUUGUUUAGAAUAGCAAUGAUUAGUUUUUUUGGUUAUUUUUGUUGUUGUAAUUGAGUACUUUUUGCAAAAGUAUAGUUUUCCUAAUUUGUGUGUUUAUAUAUAACGGAAUCAUAUACUAUGAUGCACACAUCUUAUGUUAGUUAAUUCGGUCUAGAGAGCUGUAAGCAAGUAACCAACCAGUGAACAUGAACGCUUUCAAGACACGACUUGAGAUCGAUUUGGUUUCUUUUGUCUUUUUUUUUGUUUUGUUAAAUGGUUUCUUUAACAUUGCAAAGAAAAUAUGAUGUAGAUGGAGACCUUGAAAGCAACUAAUAUUUUUAUCAUGAGAUAACCUACAAUGAUAUUUGUUUUUUUUUUCCUAAAUGAAACAACAUAAAUUAUUUUUGUAUGGUUGGAAAAAAGAAUUAUUUAUUACAAUUUUUUUCUAUAGAAGAGACAUGGCCAAUGAGGUGUUCAAAAAAAAAAGACAUGACUAAUGUAUCCGGAAAAUAUAAAUUUACAGACAUGUCAAGUAUUUAUCUGGUUUGACAUGACUAAUGUAUUGGUUUGAUUUCAUCUUUUUAAUUAACUGGAUUUGUUUGCUAAAAAAAAAAUAUUAACUGGAUUUGUCGAAAGCUAGUCAGGUGAUAGUAAAUUCGUAACACGUGUCGAGCGCUGAUACAAAAUUGAAGUAAACGGAGUCCGUUAAAAGCAACGUUGCGGCCGUACCUUUAUGCUGAAAGCCGCUAUUUUGGUAUAACCGUAUAUCUAGGAAGAGACCCCUCAUCUCAUAGAUUAGAAAUUCGCGUAAUUAUUACCUACAAAAGAGAACAAAAAAUUGACAGCAAAAUAAUUUUGGCAGACUUAAAGAAUUAAUAGCAUCCAAGUCAAGUGGGAAGAAACUACCUCAGUUUUUCAGAAAAAAAAAAUAUUAAUAUGUUUUUUUUGAGCAAAACAAAAUAAUCUUUAUGAUCACAUAAUUAUGUUUUGUUUUUGUAAUAAUAAAUGUGACCAUCGAUUUUAUGCCUUGUAUAAACUGGGUCUCUUACACUUGUGUCAUACUGUUUCUUAAGAAAAAAGAAAAAAUAUAGAGAUUUGAUAUUUUCAUCUCUAAAUAUAAAGAUAAAAAUUAGAAUUUCUCUAUAUUUUCCUCUAAAAAAAGGAACUCUAUUAUAGAAACAUACAUUGAAACAAAUCCACCUCUAUAAUAAAGAUCUAUAUUUUAGAAGAAAAUAUAGAGAUAUACAUUGGAAAUGCUCUAUUUAGAGAUGGAAAUAGCAAAUCUCUAUAUUUUCCCCUAUAAAUAGAGGAACUCUAUUAUAGAAUAGAUGCAUACAUUGGAGCAAAUCCACUUCUACAAUAAAAUUUCUCUGUUUUAAAGGAAAAUAUAGAGAUAAAAUAGAGGUUGGUUGGAGAUGGUCUAAGAAGCUCCUUAAAUAUCCCCACUAAUGAUAGCCUAAGUCAUCGGUGGUCUUCAAAAUUUCUCCCAUAUGCCAUAUCAUACAAUGCCGAAAAAGGUAUCAAAAAUAAUAUUUAAUCGCAUAUCAACUCUAUAUUUACUUGCAUUACAUGUGUUGUGGAUUUUGGUAUGUUUCUGAUAAAUAAUACCCUUGAUUAAACGAGUAUCAUGGGGAACACUUUUUGCAAGCUUCAUUUACAAUGCAUGUAAGAACAGGGAAGAAAAAAUAAGAGAGGAGCAGAGAGGAAGAGAUCGAGAGGUCAAAUCACUGAAGUCAACAUCACAUCGCUUCACAUGCAAUAAAACACACCAUUGUCUUGUCUUGUCAUAUAUCAUUUUGCAUCCCAACAAAAAUUUAAGAAAUAAUUACACUCAGAUGCACUUAUACUCAGAUACUUUGGACUAUCAGAGAUAUCUUCUCGUCACUCUGACUCAUCGUUCUCAACAUCGUUACCUCACCUAUAGCCAUCAUGGGAAACCCGAGCGCAGUGUUUGGCUCUGUCGCAAGAGGUAGAAGCAUCAAUGGCAUGUUUUUGUUUUUUGCAAGUUGAGUCUCUUCAGUUACAAAAAAAAAAAAAGUUGAGUCUCUUACAUUUUGUUUAUUUUUGCUUUAAACCCAAGUUAUUCAAUUGUAAAAUUGUCUCCUCUAACUAACUUCUAACUUUUUGUUUGUUUAUUCCAGCUUUUCUUCAUAUUGCCUGAAUUAUCUUUUGUCUUUUGCUUGCUUUCAUUUUUGCCCCAAUACUAUCACAUUAAACAAAAUUCUCUUUAAUUUCGCCUCAACCUUACCAGUUGUACACUCUAACCCUUGUUAAUGCAAUUAAACACAUAUAUGAACUAAACACACUUACGUAAUUAUUACAACUACGUAACAAAAAAUAUUAUAAUUUGGAGAGUGUCCUAUAUACUCAUGUACCCACGUAAAAAUGUACACAUGUACAUACGUAAACUUGUACACACAUAAACAUAUACAUACAUACACAUGUAUGAACAAUUAGUAAAUCUUGAUAAAUACUCCAUCCGUUUCAUAAUAAAUAUCGUUUAAAGUUUUUACACACAACUUAAGAAAAUUGUUACCCUUACUUAAUAUAAUUUUCGUUUGGUUUUAUUAAUUAAUGAAUUAAAAUAAGGACAAAAAUAAAAAAAAAUUGUUUAAUAUAUGCAUUGAAAAUUU
This is a long non-coding RNA of Brassica napus (rape), 3540 nucleotides long. RefSeq lists it as uncharacterized. The record is from RefSeq and is a predicted model, not a curated record. The transcript is spliced from 2 exons. Lineage: Eukaryota; Viridiplantae; Streptophyta; Magnoliopsida; Brassicales; Brassicaceae.